This 279-nucleotide ribosomal RNA is filed under the name uncultured bacterium. Its description in RNAcentral is "partial 16S ribosomal RNA". It matches the Rfam family "Bacterial small subunit ribosomal RNA", at positions 506 to 784 of the family's 1533-position model. The record is from RNAcentral.
UGCCAGCCGCCGCGGUAAUACGAAGGGGGCUAGCGUUGUUCGGAAUUACUGGGCGUAAAGCGCACGUAGGCGGACUUUUAAGUCGGAUGUGAAAUCCCCGGGCUCAACCUGGGAACUGCAUACGAUACUGGGUAGCUAGAGUAUGUUAGAGGCAAGUGGAAUUCCGGGUGUAGGGGUGAAAUCCGUAGAUAUUCGGAGGAACACCAGUGGCGAAGGCGGCUUUCUGGACCGAUACUGACGCUGAGACGCGAAAGCGUGGGGAGCAAACAGGAUUAGAUA